This 389-nucleotide long non-coding RNA is filed under the name Zostera marina. RNAcentral describes it as "long non-coding RNA (ZMAR_LNC006190)". The record is from RNAcentral. Lineage: Eukaryota; Viridiplantae; Streptophyta; Magnoliopsida; Alismatales; Zosteraceae.
AGCCACUAAAAUACAAGCCUUGCUAAGAUCCUAGCUAGCUCUUAGAUGAUAAUUUCAAAAUCUCAUUACUUGUUAAACCUAACAAGUCAUGUCAGUACAUGGGAAAUCAAAAAACUCUCUUUUGAGAAGGAGACUGCAAGAUAAAACGAUUUUUCAUGGCUUAGUCAAACCAAGAAAUUCUUGGAAACUAAAACAUAAACCAAAAACAAGAAAUUCUUGGAAACCUAAAAGCUUCAUCUAUAAAUACUAGGUUGUUCACUCUCAAACCAAAACCUUCCUUUCUCACCCAUUCCUACCAUCUUCAAAAUGGAUUCUUAUGAUCCAGACUGGAAAAAGGUGAUGGAUCUCAUCACAGGGAAGAAGCAAGUAAGUCAAUCCGAGAUAACUAC